UACGAAGGGGGCUAGCGUUGCUCGGAAUUACUGGGCGUAAAGCGCACGUAGGCGGCUCUUUAAGUCGGAGGUGAAAUCCUGGAGCUCAACUCCAGAACUGCCUUCGAUACUGAAGAGCUCGAGUCCGGGAGAGGUGAGUGGAACUGCGAGUGUAGAGGUGAAAUUCGUAGAUAUUCGCAAGAACACCAGUGGCGAAGGCGGCUCACUGGCCCGGUACUGACGCUGAGGUGCGAAAGCCAGGGGAGCAAACGGG
RNAcentral lists this ribosomal RNA (253 nucleotides) under uncultured bacterium. Its description in RNAcentral is "partial 16S ribosomal RNA". It matches the Rfam family "Bacterial small subunit ribosomal RNA", at positions 524 to 776 of the family's 1533-position model. The record is from RNAcentral.